UACGGAGGGUGCAAGCGUUAUCCGGAUUUACUGGGUUUAAAGGGUGCGUAGGCGGCCAGGUAAGUCAGUGGUGAAAUCCCCGAGCUCAACUUGGGAACUGCCGUUGAUACUAUCUGUCUUGAAUACCGUGGAGGUGAGCGGAAUAUGUCAUGUAGCGGUGAAAUGCUUAGAUAUGACAUAGAACACCGAUUGCGAAGGCAGCUCACUACGCGGUCAUUGACGCUGAGGCACGAAAGCGUGGGGAGCAAACAGG
This 253-nucleotide ribosomal RNA is filed under the name uncultured bacterium. Its description in RNAcentral is "partial 16S ribosomal RNA". It matches the Rfam family "Bacterial small subunit ribosomal RNA", at positions 524 to 776 of the family's 1533-position model. The record is from RNAcentral.